UCUUCAAUAAAUCCUGCCAAAUGUAAAUAAUUAUUAUAAAUGUAUGUUUAUUGUCCGAUAUAAUAAAUGAAAAUAAAUAAUUUUGUUAAAAUUCGUCCUACAGUGAUGAUAGUUGAUGUCCUAGUGAAUAACGGGGAAUUCAAAAAAUACUGUGGAAGACUUUAUUUCUAACAAACUCAAACCAAAGACUCAAAAAGCACUGACACAUUCCUGAUCAAUACUCUGAUAAAGUGAUUGAUCCAUUGAUAAACAGCAUCAUCAGAGUAAUCCAUAAGUCCCUGUUGGAGUCAGUCAGAGCAUUUCCAUAGAGAGACACUUUGCAUCAGCAGCACCAUCCUCCAGUGCUCUGGGAGAGUUUAUAGUCCUGAGAGUUGAACACUGGAUGACUGACAGCUGUCCUUCAUCACAACAGAAGACACAGAAAUCCUCCUCAUCAAAAACAUGACUUUGAUCUCCGUCCUCAUCUGGACUCUCCUCUGCUGCUGCUUCACAGAGUCCAGAGGACAGGUCACAGUGACUCAGCCUGGAGCAGUGAGCUCUGCUCUGGGAGGCUCCGUCUCCAUCUCCUGUAGGACCAGUCAGGAUGUUUAUGGCACUAACUAUUUAGCCUGGUACCAACAGAGAGAUGGAGAAACUCCUAAACUGCUCAUUUAUUAUACUAGCGCUCUACAAUCAGGGAUUCCAGGUCGUUUUACAGGCAGUGGAUCAAACUCUGCCUUCACUCUGACCAUCAGUGGAGUCCAGACUGAAGAUGCAGCAGUUUACUACUGUCAGAGUUUACACUAUAUCAACAGUCUGUAUGUGUUCACACAGUGAAAAAGCGUCGUACAAAAACCUCCCUCAGUCAGACUGAACAGAAACUGAACUGACUGCUGCAGCUGGAAGCUACUGCAGAGACUGAUACACUUCACUGAACACACACACACACACACACACACACACACACACACACACACACACACACACACACACACACACACACACACACACACACACACACACACACACACACACACACACACACACACACACACACACACACACACAGACAGACAUUCAUGUUUCCAUAACUUUUCGGGACAAUACUUUGACUUACAUUCAAGUUCUGGGAAUUACUUUAACCAUAAGCAUCAACCACCCAAAUCUUAACCAUUGUCCUAACGUUACCCCAAGUCUUCAACAUAAAAUGUAAUGUUUUACCUGAUGGACAAGGGCCUUUCGUCUUCAUAAGCAAGGCAAGACCCACAAUUAUCAGAUUUAUUUUCCCACAAGACCGGCAAAGCCCACACACACCAGGAGUUGGUUAAGUGUUCUAUACAGAUAGCUCACUGUAUCUGUGGAUCAAUGUUGAUGCAUAUAUAAUACAAAAAUAGUCAUAAAGAUGAAUUAGUAAUGAACAACUUGUUUCCCCACCACUCUCAGUAUUUUUUCAUUUAAACACCUGUCUCUUGAACAAAGAAGUCCUUGAGCAUCUCAGGUCUCUGUUAAUUCAUUCCAUCAGAAAAUCAGCCUGUAUACUGAUGACAUCCUAUUAGGUUCCACUAACUUUUAAUUUUACUUCAUAUCGUUUUUUCAUCUGAUCACAAGAUACAGCUGGUUUAUUUGGCGAUCCUUUGCCUUUUUCAAUGUGCAGGAAAUAUUUUGC
Anoplopoma fimbria (sablefish) is the source of this 1645-nucleotide non-coding RNA. Lineage: Eukaryota; Metazoa; Chordata; Actinopteri; Perciformes; Anoplopomatidae. The record is from the annotation of a RefSeq genome assembly.